GAUGAAGAACGUAGCGAAAUGCGAUAAGUAGUGUGAAUUGCAGAAUUCAGUGAAUCAUCGAAUCUUUGAACGCACAUUGCGCCCCUCGGUAUUCCGUGGGGCACGCCUGUUCGAGCGUCAUUUACACCCUCAAGCGCAGCUUGGUGUUGGGCGUCUGUCCCGCUCUCCGUAGCGCGGACUCGCCUCAAAGUCAUUGGCGGCGGUCGUGCCGGCUCCUCGCGCAGCACAUUUGCGCUUCUCGGAGGCCCGGCGGAUCGGCAUCCAGCAAGCUACUUUUUAUGACUUGACCUCGGAUCAGGUGAGGGUACCCGCUGAACUUAAGCAUAUCAAUAAGCGGAGGA
This 341-nucleotide unclassified non-coding RNA is filed under the name soil metagenome. RNAcentral describes it as "partial contains 5.8S ribosomal RNA, internal transcribed spacer 2, and large subunit ribosomal RNA". The stretch from base 1 to 120 matches the Rfam family "5.8S ribosomal RNA", at positions 35 to 154 of the family's 154-position model. The record is from RNAcentral.